RNAcentral lists this ribosomal RNA (204 nucleotides) under Geotrichum klebahnii. RNAcentral describes it as "5.8S ribosomal RNA". The stretch from base 3 to 152 matches the Rfam family "5.8S ribosomal RNA". From Rfam's summary of the family: 5.8S ribosomal RNA (5.8S rRNA) is a component of the large subunit of the eukaryotic ribosome. It is transcribed by RNA polymerase I as part of the 45S precursor that also contains 18S and 28S rRNA. Functionally, it is thought that 5.8S rRNA may be involved in ribosome translocation. The record is from RNAcentral. Lineage: Eukaryota; Fungi; Ascomycota; Dipodascomycetes; Dipodascales; Dipodascaceae.
AAAACUUUUAACAAUGGAUCUCUUGGUUCUCGUAUCGAUGAAGAACGGAGCGAAACGCGAUAUUUCUUGUGAAUUUCAGAAGUGAAUCAUCAGUUUUCUGAACGGACAUUGCACUUUGGGGUAUCCCCCAAAGUAUACUUGUUUGAGCGUUGUUUCUCUCUUGGGAUUGCAUUGCUUUUCUAAAAUCUCGCAUCAAAUUCGUUU